GUUUCAAAAUGUUCCUCUGCUCCAAUUCCUCUGCAGUUGGCCUCUGGCUCAGGCGCCUGCGGAAAAAAUCCAGGAGAAGUUUUUGGACCAUAUCACAUCCUCCUUGGGUCAUUAAUCUCCUCAGCCCUUGUAGAUACAUGAGACAGAGUCAGUGGCCGGAGUUCUUGUUCCAUCCUGUGCUCUGAAAGACUGACUCUCACUACCACCGCCUCCUCGGUUCCUCAAAUUCAACCCCAGGAAAGGCACCAUGCGUCAUGUCACACUGAGCUGACCCUCCGCCUUCCUCACUUCGUUGGCCCCUCCCCAGCCCUGCUCCUCCGGUGCCUCAAGGCAAGUGGACUCGUCUCUUCACAGAAGUCCCUUUCUUUCCUUGUGGCCUCCUAACUCCAGGAACGUGGCCUCUGCCUUUCUCCCCCACCCUGAGGCUAGAGGUUGCUUCUUGCCCUGAUUGUGCAGACCCAGUUGGAACACAAAGAGGCUCAUGGCCCCAGGGAGACAUGGGAGAGCGCGUCUGUCUGCAAAGAACAAUAGCUGCUCUUCUUCUCGUCCCCACCCAUUACCACCAGAGCCUUAUUAGACAUGGAAUGACAAAUGAACAAGAACAGAAAUGACACUCCUGAUACUGGGCAUAUAAUUUAGUCAUAACAAGUGAAACAUCAUAGCAGGGGCACGAACCUGCUAUGAUGCAACAGAAGGGGGUGGGGACAGACAACGGAUGGGCACCCCAUAGUGAUAGAAAUCUCCAGAGAACGAGGAGGGCACCAAAGAGGAGAAUUACAUGCUUGUAUGCCUAUACAAAGUUCCAGGAAUGAUCAACACAAAAACAAUGGGCCUCAGCACUCACAGUGCAUUUUUGAAGUUCUUGGAAAUUACUUAACAACCCUGCAAUUAUUCAGCAUUUUGCUUCACCCAUUGGAAUGAGGUGUGUGUGAGAUGAGAAAAUGGUAGGAGGAGUCUGAGGCUUCUCAGAGUCCUCCACUGGGACCUAAGAGGUGGAAGGAGUGCUCUCCUAGAGGCAGAAGUUGCAGGCCCUUCCCAAAUAUCGGCAACUAGUGUCCACAGUUGGCAUCAUGGAAUCUGAAGAGAGAGCUAGAGUGGAAAUAUAAAGUCCGUGGAGUCACCAAGUAUAAAUAUUUUAAAUCCAAUGCUUACUCUCACUUUAGUUCUCUUUAUUGCCCUGGGCCAGAAAACAACUGAUCUGUGCUACCCCAAUUUCAUCACCGUCUAUGCUAUAGAUAGGGAACAGGCUUAAUGCCAGAGAAAAGAUUUUUGGUCAGAUAUAUGUCUGUAAAAUUUAUAGCACCCUGGAAACUGCUGGGAAUUGUUCCAAGGUGUUUUUAAGUUUCUAAGAACAUUUUCACAUUCAUUAGUCAUUUUCUCCUCAAAACAUCCCAUUAUGGCAUUAUUUAUCCCCAUUGAUAAGGGCCAGCUGUGUAUUUGGAAAUUUACAAUAUUGGAGGUUCUAAAUUUGGACUCAGCAGUCUUUAAGUCCUUUCUAAAAUACCAAUCUCAUACUGUAGGAGGAAACUUGAGAUUACAGGACUGAGCAAAUUGAUGUCAUAGGUCUGGAAUGCAGCUACUGACUCCACCGGGAAUGAGCGUCUUAGAGGCUAGGCCUCACCUUUCAAUUUAUUUUCAAGAAUACUUGUUUCUUUUAUAGGGAUGCACAGCCACCCUUAUGGGACCGCUUAUGGCACCUUUAUAAGACCCAGGCUUUAAAAUGAAGCUAGGGUUUUGGGGGCAGCAUGUUUUGAAAAACCCCUUCGGAUUCAAGGUGGAGCUUGCAUCUUGGAAACAGGGCCAAUGUUGUACCCCCACAAGUGUCCCCAGAACGUUUGCCCUCUGGCUUGUGCCGAGCAGCCCAUUUAUUCCACUACCAGAUGUGUUGCCUGGUUCUGUGCUGGCCUUUUGCUUUUUGUUUUUCUUAUGGGUCAUGUUUGGAGGAGACAAAACAAUGAGUGGCUGCACUAUAACCAGAGAAAACUCUGCUAUUAACUAGGCAGCCUUACAGUCAAACACACAUGAUUUCAAAUGAGGCCCUCUAUGUUUCAUUUCUCAUGAAAGGAUCUGAGAACAUAAAGGCUAAGCAUAGGUAUGAAAUCUAGCUAAGCCCUCCCGAAGGGGAUGUGCUGUAAUUAGCUGUUUUGACUUUGAAAUGAGAUUCGGUAGGAAAAUGAUAUUGUGGCAUUGUAAUGACAAAGCACUAAACAGCUCAGAACUUAGGGGGGCUGCAUUCUAGUCCUGCUCUGCUCUGCUCUGUACCUACUGUCCUUGGAGAAGGUACUGGACCCCUAUGGGCCUAUGUUCUUUUCUCUGCAAAUAAUAAACAGCACAGUCAUGUACCACAUAAUGAUGUUUUGGUCAAUGACAGGCCACAAAUACAAUGGUGGUCCCAUUAGAUUAGUACCAUAUAACCUAGAGGUGCAGUAGGCUAUAUCAUCCAGGUUUGUGUAAGUUCACGCUAUGAUGUUUUGCACAACACAAAAUCGCUUAAUGAUGCAUUUUUCAGAAUGUAUCUCCAUUGUUAAGCAAUGCACAACUGCAAUUUAAUAAGCUAAGGUUGAUUUAAUGCCUAUAAUGUGCAGGCAUAGUUGUAAGAAUGGUAUGUAUGUUAAUUCACUUCAUCUUCAUAGCAGCCCCUUGAGGUAGUACCAUCAACAUUUCCAUCAUACAAAUGGGAAAACUGAGGCACAAAACAUUGCCUUCCUUGCCCCAGGUCACACAGCUAGCAAGUGACAGAGCCAAGACUGAAACCCAGGCCUUCUGUCUCUAUAGUCUGAAGACUCUUAACCACUGUUAUUUGUUUCCUAUUGCUGCUCUAACAAAUUACCACAAACUGAGUGGCUUAAAACAACACAAAUUUAUUAUCUUACAGUUGUGGCAGUCAGAAUUCCGAAAUAUGUUUCACUGUGUUAAAAUCAAGGUGUCAACAGAGCUGCGUUCCUUCUGGAAGGAGAGACUCUGUUCCCUUGCCUUUUUCAGCUUCUAGAGGCUGCCUGCACUCCCUGUGCCUCUUCUAAGCCAGCAGUAUAGUAUCUUCCAAUCUCUCUCUGACUUUGACCCUCCUGCCUUCCACUUAUAAGGACUCUUGUGAUUACACUGUGUUCAUCCAGAUAAUCCAGGAUAAUCCCUUCAUUGUGAGAUCCUUAAUUUAAUCACAGCUGAAGAGUCCUUUUUGCCUUGAAAAGUUACAUAUUCAUAGGUUUGGGGAUUAGGACAUGGACAUCUUUGGGGGUACAAUUAUUCUGUCUACGACAACCAUAACACUCUACUAGUCAGAAGCUGUAAACUGGCGUCUGGUGGGCUGGAUUUGACUCUCCAAGUUUUCCUUGGAUGCUCAGAGGUUACAGUUUUUUCUUAUCUGAAUGCCUGUAGAUAGGGCGUGUGGGUCCCAGUAAGCCCAGUCCCCAGCACCCGCUCAGAUACGACGUGUGAGCACGGUGACAUCUGUCCUGCUUUCUUCCUUUCCAAUCACUCUUGGCCCUUGUGGGUCUCUGAGGUUGCGAGCCCUGGGUGAGAUCAUCAAGUCACAAGGACCCUAACUUUCCUUUUCCUUCUUUCAUCCACCAAUCUACCCACCAUUGACUAACAACCCUACUGAGGACUGGGCACCGACAGUUCCUGAGAGCUCACAGCCCGGAGGUGCACGAAAAAGAAAAGCAGAAGUGACUUUGGUUUUCUGCAUCUCAGCCCCAGAGGGAGGUAACUGCCUUUUCAGACAGACGGAAAAAGAAAACGCAGAGGGGCUGCCUGGAGCUCUGUGUUGAGAAGGAUUCUGAAGCCUGCCCACACCUUUGUAAUCAGUCCUGUUGUAAAUAAACCCUCCUCGAGUUCUCAUAAUGAGUGAACCAUCUGUUUUCUGUUGGAACCUUGGUGGAUGGGAAGAUCACGGUAGGGAGACCCUUCCUUUUUGAUGGAGCUGUUCAGAUUUGAGGCUGAAGAUAUCAAAGGAGAAGGACACAUUUGCUUUGACAGUCAGCUAAGCAUAUCAGCUCUGGUGAUUGACAGAGUGACAGACAAUGGCGAUCCUGACUAGAUUAUUUUUGUACCAUUUCUCUUUAAAGGUAGAGGCUCAAACUGGGCACAACGCUCCAACCAAGAGGAAUAAGUUAAGAAAAAUAUUUGGAUGACUUGCACACAAUACUCCCUGUGUCCCACAGACACAUAAUCUCCAAUCUUCGCAAAUUAUCCCAGUUAUUUCUGGGAGUCCUCGCUUGGUUUUUAACAUGUCCCCCAAACAUGUCCUAUCAUUAUCAAAUGACACUGGCCAUUUCCUUCCUUUUAUGCCUUAGCCCCUUCAGUGAGGUCUCUUGCCUUUACUGCUGGAAAAGCCACCUGACAACACCUGGUCAUUUCAACUACUGCUAAAGAUGUCUGCCCAGCGUGAGGACAUAGAUGUCCAUGUCAAUGGAGCCCACCUCCUGCAAGAGAGUAGACCUCUGGUGGACUCAGAACAUGCCCACCAAACAUACCCACAACUGUCUGAAACUCAGCAAAAAACCUGAUUCAGGCUCAAGCAGGAACUUCCAGUAUGCACAGGAAUCUAGGUAGACUUUUCUUAACUUGAGCCUUAUCUGGGUAUCCCUGUACUUAUUUUCCCUACUUCUUUAAAGAAUAUUGCUUUGGAUGAACACAGAUCUCUUGGGAAAGGACAAAGAGCGAUUCAAAUGAAGAGAGGAAGCUCUGGGGGUCACUGAUGAGUGACUGUAAUAGACAAUAUCAUGAUUAUGUUGACACGCACAGCCCAGACAAUACAAAAACGUCCUAAGAGUAUAUACUUAUUCAUCUACGCAUUCAUGUAUUCAUUCAAAAAGUAUUAUGGUUCCAGAUUUUCCCAGUGCCCCUGCUUUGCUGGUCCUCAAUAAACAGCAUAUAUAGCCCUUGAUCACUUUCCAAAGCAAGGCGAGGGAUGAGAAGUUGGAAAUAGGCCCUAGGAUGCUCCUCUCAUGUCCCACUCUGACUGUGACACCUGGACUCCUCCUAGGACCUGCAGAACAUGUGCAGCUCAUGCUUUUUCAUGUUCACCCCCAAUGGGCCCAUCUCUCAUCUCGGGGACGUUAGCACUUCCCAAGGAGGGGUCUGAGGGUAGAAGUGAGGCAGAAGCCAGGAGACAGGUGGCAGGAAUCCCCUGGCCUCCUUUCCCCUCUUCAUUGAAUGAGUCUGCAGCUAUUUUUCCCCAGCUGCCUCCCAGGGCCUCUCCUGCACUCCUAUUUCUGGAAAAAAUAACAACUCAAGUUCAGAUGAGAUCCCAUGCUGUUUAGAAACCUGGAGACAAAAACACAAAAGCCCCAAUGAGUCUCAGAUGCUUGAGUGGAGGGGAUUUUGGUCACAUUAUUUUGCAAAGUUUUCUAUACUUCUCUUUUAUGAAAAUCUCAUUUCCUCUACUGUUUCCUGAGACAUCUCUCCACAAUGUUAAAUGUGAAGCUUCAUUUUUAAACCAAUAGCCUGACAGCCCAAAGGAGUGGCACAGAAUGUGGUUAUUCUCAUUAAACUAUAAGUGCUUUCCCGUGCCCUGAUAAUCUUUCACAAAAUACAUUUUUGUGUAUAUGCAACAAAAAGGACCCCCUCCUCACCACACACCCCAUUUUUCUCCCCAGUAGCAUUAUGGGUUUUAGGAAUGUCUAACCAGUCUGGAUUUGCAUUUUCGCAUUCUUUGAAAAUCUUUUUGUUAAUUUUAAAGCGGUCAGGAAUAAUGGAAUGGUUUUUUUUUUGGUCCAGGAAAGGAUCUACUUAUAUGGGAAAGGGAAAGAGGAAAAAGAACGCAAAAAUGGGGAGUGCUAUGGAUGCUUCAAGUAGACUUUAUCUUGAUUAGAUAGGAAACAAAUACAAAUGAUUUCUCACUGCUUUCUUGGCCUUAUCGACCCAAUGCAUUGGGGGAUCCCUUGUGAGAAGAGACUGUUCCCCUCAAAUAUGUUCCUAAAAAGAGACCACAAAUUUAUAUAACAUACCUACCACAGGGCUGUCAGCUCCCAGCCUGGUGAAUGUUAGUCCACGUCCUCUUCCCUGCCUUAUGUCCUUUUUUGUUUUAUUUCCUCACAUUCUGGGCACAUCAGAUACACAGCACACAGACACCCUCACUCUCCUGCACGUGCACUUCGACAUGUGAAACGAGAGGGAAGUCAAAGACCACGGCAGCACCAGCAAGCGAGCAGGCAGAUCUCCACAUCGAAAUGCCCCAGAAGGAGCCAGGGAAAACCUGGGCAGAAUCCAUUAGCAGCCCUGGGCUGGGACUGUACUGUCCCUCACAGGAGGCACCGCCAAACCAACUCCUGAGGUGUCAGAUAAACACCCUCCUCCAUCCUGAGGGAAACGGCUGAUUGUAGAACAUUCUCCUCAGUCAGGAGCCAUCGCCUCUUUCCAGGAGAGCGCCGAGAACGGCCGGCAUCCUGACCGCACUGUGUCUUCAACAAGGGGUCAUUGGGAGGCUGAGCUGGUCUGAAAGCAGCAUCCUACGCAGGGGAUAGGAACACUCGGCCACUCAGAGCCCUGAAAGCCACCCUUCUCAGCCAGGUCCGUGUUCACGGAGAAGCUGGUGGAGGGGACAGGAUCAACCACAGCAACACCCAGGGACCCCUCUCAGCACCUCCUUUCUCUAGUUAGAAAACGGAUUCCUGACAUUAUGUGUGCAUCAAAAACACACAUGGCUUUCUUCAUGCCAUAAGUGUUGUGUCCGUCUCUUGUCACCAGUUUUACACACAUCCCACAAAUCUAUGGUUUUGAAAUUUCCUGGAGUUGCUGCCACAAUCUCUCUUCAUAUCUGCGAGACACCUGGUUUAGGUAUCACCUGUGUCACCUGUCCUGAGGUGAGAGUUUUGAGGUUAGGCCUGUCUUGCGCUCAAGGAGUCCCAUGUUAGUUUUUGACUUCUACUCACUGGUGUCCCUCUCACUGGCCCCCGCCUCUUCCUGCAGGCCUUGGAAUCUGGCUUCAGCAGCAUAAACAAGAAGACACUCAUCCCCUGUGGAUGUUCCUUUUCAAGAGAGGCCUGCUUGGCAUUGCAGGGGCGCUUUCUUUCUUGAGACAACACGCAUCUUCUGCUAAAAUCGAUUCCCUGUCUCUCCUUCCUGGAGAAGCAGGCCCUUCUUAGCUGGCCAACAGCUGAGCCACACAGCUUUCGAUGGUACCUGGUUGUCCUUGAAAUAGCUUCUCUAAUUGCUCAGGUAAUAAAUCAAAUGGAAAAGAAUGGACAGUAUCCCUAGGAUAAUUUGUAAAGCAAUACGGUGCUUCAGAUUUGGACUAAUAAGUAAAAGUAAAUGGAACCAUUUUGAUGAUCAGCGAAAUUAGCACAAAGAAAAACCUAUUUGUGUGAAGAUAAAUAGAAUUUCUCCCUCUAAUGGAGAUAUUUUAAGCUUAUGUACUUUUCAGAUGGAUCUAGUGUCAAUACUGUGAAAGCAAGGCCAUCUUCUCUAAAUGUCUUCAGUCUGGAAAUUUAAAUGUGUCAUCUCUUUCUUCUUCAGAGGACCAGACAGUAAAUACUUUAGGUUUGGUGCACCACAUGGCCUCUGUCACAACUACUCUACUUUGCCACUAUAAUGUGAAAGUAGCCAUAGGUAUUACAUAAAUGAAAAGCAAGUCUGUGUUCCAAGAAAGCUUUAUUUACAAAGAUUAAGUGGUGGGCCGGAUUUGGCCCUCCGGCCGGCCCCUUGCCUAGCGUGUCAGCAGUGCCUGAAAACGCUGUCCGUAAAGCAUAAACCAGUGGAGUGGAACCACAAGAACUGUCAGAGCUUACUCAAUGCAAAUUAUUUUGGUUCCUCAAUGCAAAACAGGCGAUUCUUUAGUCAUGUGCUGUGUAGCUCUUACCCCCAUAAGAAAGAUGUAAUAUGCUGGUCCUUCAACACAUUAGACUGAAAAACAGCACUGCCAAGGGGCCACAGAGAAUGAUGCUGAUGACUAACAACAGUUAGGCAAGUCUUUAACCAUUGUACAGUCUGAUUUAUGGACUGUGGGUGGCAGUACAGGAUGGAAGCCCGAACAUCAUAUCCUCUUCCUCUUCAUCACCAUCAUCAUGAAUAAAAUAUCUGGAAGAUGCAUUGGCUUUUCUUAGUUGGCAUGUUGUUUUGGUUACUGUUGGGUGUUUUUUACACACACUCUCUCUCUGCUGAGUUCUCUUGCUCCACUGUGGCUUCCGGACAUCUGUCCCUUGCUCAUGCUUUGGCCCAUGUGAGGAUUAGACUUUUGGUGGCUCUCCAGCUGGAUUACAGCUGCAGGGUGUGGCUGUGGCUAUGAGUUCCUCCACUGUGGCAGCUAAGAACAUGCUUCUUGUAAGAGGAUUUAUUGCCCAUCUAUUAAUUGGCCUUCCAACGAUGAUUUAGCUCCUCUCAAAGGGUCCAUGGCCUUAGGGCCUUAUCAACUCAACAGGAGGAUGACUUUGACAGACAUAAAGAUCAGAAUUUCUCCUUAAAUCAAGUUUACUUGUCAAACAGGCAGCUUGAAAACUUUCAUGGAAAUUGAGAGUUUUAAUGUUUAAGAAACUGUUCUAUAUAUUUUUACAUAUACCUCAGCAUUCCAUUAUUAAUAAAUUAGUAAACUGAUAUCAUGUAACACAUGAGAUAAAUUUAUGACAAAUUUUAACUAAUUUCUUAGAUAGUCUAAACCCGACAUUAUACAUAGGCUUUUAAAAAAAAUGAAUAGACUUAUUUUAUUUUUGCCUAGACAAAGUUACAUGACUUUACAGUUCCCUCAUGGGAAAUGCUUCAGCAUCUCUCGGUUGCAUUGCUGUUGACUGUGGGGUGAGAAUCAGAUUUUGCAGGCUGUGGCUCUUGAAUGGCUCUGUUGGUUAAGGACUGUGAAUAGAGAGAGCAAGGUGACAGAGAACCCAGACAGAGCGAGAGCCUACACUGGGCAGGGGAGGUGCUCCAACUGUGCUGACAUGGCAGGCUCCAGGCAGAAACCACCCACUCAACUUCGACAAAUAUAAAGGCAGCACCAAGUCACUUAAGGAGGGCAAGCUCAUGGCUUCUCUUGGAUGGGACAUGGACCCGGCUUCUUGGGUUGGACCGUGUAGGUGGCAGAUUCAAUGGUUCAAUCAAAUUUGGGGAGGGCAGCUCCGGUGUACGUAAUUUUAAUACACAGGAAGAUGCAAUUACCUGUCUUAGCAUCUUUUAAGACGGAGCUUGAUAAGUUACAACAUGAAGAGGAGGAAAACAAGGGAAAUCAGAACAGUCAAAAGGACGGCUGGAUUUAUGGGAGGUUGAAAAGUUAUGAAACACAUUGAUUACCCGUCAGCACCCACUAUUUAUCUGUCUGCCUACUUUUUUCCAAAGGAACUAACAAGGCUGCCCAUUUUGAAGAACUAUUGUUUUAAUGUUUCAAUGGGCACUGAACAUAAAAUUUUCAGAAUCACACUUCCUAAAAUAGAAGCGUAUUCACUUAUAUGUCAAAGGAAUUGCCUUUAGAAUCAGAAGGAAAAGCGAUUUUCCAGGGUUUGUAUCUUUGGAUAAUUUUUCCUGUUUAUAUUCUGUCUAAAAAUUACUAUUUAGUUAGCAUAUAUGCAAUUUUCGAGGCUAUUAUAAAAAUCUUUGCAUUCUAACCAAGAAGAGUGAAAUGAACAAAAUGAAGAUAAAUAAAGUGAAUUACCUUAUUAGCAUUUUGCAUGAGAUUUGAGGUGUUUUGCCAGUAAACAAAGAUGUGCGGGGACACAUGGAAAACAACUAGACUGCACAUUUCUCAGUUGUGAUCCAGUUCUGCUAUUUAAAUAUUCAGGACUGCGUGCAAGCUCUAUAGAGGAGCUGCAGAAAAAUCACAUAAAAACCCGAAGCCAAAUUUGGUAGGUGAGAAAGAGCACUACAUACCACGGGAAGUACUCUGGAGACUGGAAAUGCCAACUUCCCCAUUGAAACAAAGAACAAAGAAUUCUUCAUAAGUAUAAAUGAUCGGCGCUUCAUUUAUCAUUUGAAUGGUGGAAUCACCAGAAUAGGCCAACUCCAAACUAAGCACCAGCUGAAGAAUCCUCCAAAGUACCUGCUCUUUCUUCAAAAUUAUUAAUGAAGCUUCCUCAGCUGUGAUGAACUAGCAGGUAGCUACAUGCGGAAACAUCUCUCAUGUAUGCAUUGAACUCAAUUUAAUUCUUCUAGCCAAGUGGGAUGGAAGAACCUACCGAGGGGAGAAUUUAAGGAUUCCUUUUAUCACAGGCCUUUUGAUUACUGAAAAUGUUUCUUAAAGAGGACUUGGUUCCACAUCCUAGUAUAGCCAGAAAUAACCAUGUGAACUUGGCUGGCAGCUUAACCUCUUUUGGCCUCUGUUUCUUUAUCUAUAAAAUUAAAGGUAUUAAAGGCAGUGAGAAUGACUGCCUGCUGGAGCUCUAAUUCCAUUAUUUUUUCAGAUCCAGAAGAUGCAGUUGUGAAGUAUGUGAAGAAACCCACAAAUGGGCUCCUUGAGACACAGGCACAAAGCCCACAGUGAAAAACAAUCUCCGAAUAAGUCAGCCUGAACGCACUGGACCGGAUUCUGCGGGAGGAUUCCAUGCAACAAAAUUAUCUUUCAACCAAAGUUUGAAAGAUACUUUGGAUGCUUCAUAAGAUGAUUUAACUCAUAGUUUAUUCAUUGCCUCCUGGUAAAUUCACAAAUGGCUCUGAGAGAUCCUUUCAGGGAUAAAAGUAUGAUAGAAAUGACACAUUCUUAUGAUUGUUUAGUUUAUAAGGGGAUCAAAAGAUUGUAGGAAAGAAAGAGAAAAUGUACUGCAAGAAAAGUGGCCUGACAACUCGAGUUGAAGCUGUUCAUAGGAAUGCUCAUAAGAGAAAAUAACUCUGAAUCAAAUGUUUAGACUAUUCAACGUUUAAAUUACCCAGAGCCCUGCCCCAACCCCAUUCUUUCGGGAACAUUUAAAAAAAAAUGGAAAGAGAAAUAGUCUAAAAUAAAUUUUCACCAAUAGAAGAAUGUGCUCCAGAUAGACUCACAUUUUCUCCACAGAACUUGCCUUUAGCAUCUCUCUCCCAGACGAAACCAGAGAACAAUGAGUAUUCCUUGACUAGCUAGUCUUGAUCCUUUCAGAGGGAUGAUUAUCUAGCUCUUUUAACUGAUACCUAGUACACUGUUGUGUACACAGCAGAUGUCUAAUCAAUACUUUCCAAUAGAAUCAAUUUGUUGAAGCUGAGGUUCCAUGGCCUCCCUUAGUAACUCGUGUCCCUGGGAAGUUAACCUGAAACUCACAGAGAAUAAACUCACUCGGCUCAAGGUCCACCACUCCUUUGUGCUGUCUCCCAGUUGUACUUAAGCUAGUUUUUUCUUUAAACAGGAGCAGUGUUUAUUUUGGGUCUCAUUUUUCUCUAAUUGAGAUUAUUUUGAUUUCCAUGAGUCACUUUACUAAACUAGACCUCAGGAGCAAUUCAUUCAUCGAUGCAGAUCUUGGACAUGUAGUGACACUGGCUCCAACAGAGACCCUCACAGACUCUCCGCAUGGUCUGCUCCCCUCAGGUUAACCAGUCUCAGCAUUCCAAUGGCCAAUUGGCUGCCACUUUCCUUCAGCCAACUGUGAAAAGGCUUUUACUUACUUUUAGUUUUGACGAAUGAAAACUGGAUAUAUUUAAGGUGUACAGUGUGAUAUUUUGAUAUCUGUAUACAUUGUGAAAUGAUUAUCACAAUCAAAUUAAUUAACAUACCUAUUACCUCCCACAGUAAGUUAUCAUUGUGUGUGUGUGUGGUGAGAACUCUUGAGAUGUGCUUUCCUAGGAACUUUCAAGUAUACAUUACUGUUAACUAUAGUUGCCAUGCUGUUCAUUAGGUCUCCAGAAUUUAUUCACCUUAUAACUAAAAGUUUGUACUCUGAGCAAUAUCUCCCCCUUUUCCCACACUCCCCAGCCUCUGGUAAUCACCAUUCUACUCUCUGUUACUAUGAGUUCAAGUUUUUUUGUUUUGGUUUUUUAAGAUUCUACAUUGAGUGAGUUCAUGCAACAUUUGUCUAUGUCUGGCUUAUUUCACUUAGCAUAAUGACCUGCAGGUUCAUCCAUAUUGUUGCAAAUGGCAGGAUUUCUUUCCUUUUAAGGAUGAAUAAUAUUCCAUUGUAUAUAUGUACCACAAAAGUCUUUUAGUCAAGUCUUUUUGAGAUGUGACAGUCCCUUUUAUAUGACUGGAGCCAUGACCAGCACAACCUUCAAACAAAGAGCCAUGACAAGCGUUGGCUCAAGGGAGGUGAGGCUCAGCCACCUUGUGCUCAUCACAUACCCCAGUGCUCCUCUACCUUUCCCAGCCCCCCCUGCCGUGGACUGGGGUCCUGAGCCUAGUUCUGGUUAGUAGAUUAUGAGCAGAAGUGGUGUGUGCAUCUCCUCUACUCCCUCUUCCCUUGCUAUUGAGAUGUUGGAGCCAUGCGUUCUACAAAUAUGUAAUGGCUACAUGAUGGGUAGAGGCCAUCUGAUCCGCACACUAGGCUUUACUUCAGUGAAAAAUAAACCUUUACUGCCUUAAACCAUUGGGAUUCAGGGUAUGCCUGUUUGGGCAACUCGCAUGACUUAUUCUGACUGAUAGAGUCUAGCAUAACAUGGCAUUCAGAUUCACAAUGAGAGGGAAGGAACUAUGUUCAUUAUCUAGUAUAAUUAUUGUAUCUACUAUAAUAAUGAGAUUUACUUCAUCUAGUGUUCCUGAUGACCUUGGUGGGAGGUCCAUCUUACAGAUAUGGAAACUAAGGCUCGACAGGAACCCAGCUAAGAAAUAGUGGAUGGAGCUUUCAAUAUAAGUUUCAGCCUCACAGUCUUCGAUUGUUCCUUCUGCCAGACCACUGCCUCUCAAACUUUAGUGCACGUGAGAAUCACACUUGCUAAGAUGCAGAUUUCUGGACCCCAUCCUCAGAAUUUCUGAUUCAGAGUCUGGGUGGGGCCUGAAAACAUGCAUUUAACAAGUUCCUAAGUGAUGCUGAUGCCACUGACCAAGGGAUCACAUUGUGGGACCACGUUCCUUCCCACAUUGCAUCAGACACAAGUGUCUUGAAACCCAAACCUCAGCAUCAAGUGAUUCAGACCUUCCUACUUAGUGUGGACAGUAUUACUGAAAUGCAAUAAAAAGCUCAGUUAGCUCCAAGAUGGGAGAAAAAUCUCCUCUUCCCUCUUCCUUCCAUGGCUUAUCUCUCCCUCGAGGACAUUUGUAUACUUGAGCCUGAGCCACCGAUGUAGAACUCCACCAUCCUACACAAGCCUUACCCAAGCACAGGAACCUGGGAGGGAAAUUCUGUUCAACAUAAAAAUUAAACCAAACUCAACAUUUUUCUCAGCAUCUUUACCUGAAAGAGGAAAGUCUUAGAUUUGGAAGAUGUGUUUCUCUUUGCUGCUUAUCAUCUCUAAGAUUAUUAGCUCAGUUUCCUCACCUACAAGACAGGAUUCCCAAGAGCAGCCACCUUGCGGGCUUGUGGUGCUGAUGGGAAAGUACUGUAUCAACUGCAAAGGGCUCUAAAGUCUUAGAUAAUAUUCUGUCAUGGACCAUCACCCUGAGUGGUUGUCUCUAAACAUAGAAAGGUUGAUUCUUCUUUUACUUAGCCAAAUAUUCCAAGAAACAGGGUCUUUCUUUCUGCCAUCUGCUCAGAUUAAUAACAAACAAGAAUAACCAUCACAGAGAAUCCCAAUAACAAUUAGGAGAAAAAUCACUGGGGAACUAAAAGGCCUCCCCUUAUCUAACUAUUUUGGGUUAAGAGGAAGCUCUUAAAAUGUGGUCAUGGAGCUGCCGGAAGAUUCACCCAUCCUCUGAUCAGCCUGUAGUUGAAAUAGCUAUGUCCUUCCCAUCCCCUGGGCCUCAAUCUGAAAUGCUGCUGGAAUAAUCAGCCAUUUCAGAAAGCUAUGAAAUAGAAAACUAAACAAGACUCGCUAUCCCCCAGUGAUGGCCACUUUUUUUUUUUUUUUAAACCUUUGCCAGUUUUAAACACUGAGAUUGAUUCUGCUCCUGCUGGGUCAAAACGCAGCUCUUUGUCCUCCACACUUACUGUAUCAUUGAGAAAUGUACAGGCGGCUGGGACAGCUGCCAGUCACCAACAUAGAGGCCUGGAAGAGCCUGACAAGAUGGGGCUUUGUUCCUGGAUAUCCAGCGUGGGGCUUGCAAGCCCUGACUCCUCUCCUGACACACACACACAUGUGCACAUGCACACACACAUGCAUGAGCACACACACGCACACACACACACACACUGCCAGGGCUCAGAAACUCUGUCUUGGCAACAGGAAUGUCAAGAACUCAGUCUUCACUGCAUUUCUUUUUUUUUUUUUAAAGAUUUUUUAUUUUUCCCUUUUUCUCCCCAAA
Equus caballus (horse) is the source of this 14212-nucleotide non-coding RNA. NCBI's taxonomy places the organism in Eukaryota, Metazoa, Chordata, Mammalia, Perissodactyla, Equidae. The record is from RefSeq and is a predicted model, not a curated record.